RNAcentral lists this ribosomal RNA (1484 nucleotides) under metagenome. Its description in RNAcentral is "bacterial SSU rRNA". It matches the Rfam family "Bacterial small subunit ribosomal RNA". The record is from RNAcentral.
UAACACAUGCAAGUCGAUCGAGAAACUCCGGGCUUGCUCGGAGAAGUAAAGUGGCGCACGGGUGAGUAACGCGUGGGUAACCUACCCCUUAAUCUGGGAUAACUUCGCGAAAGUGUUGCUAAUACCGGAUACCGUCCUUUGAACGAAGGUUCUUGGGAUGAAAGGUGACCUAUCCAUGGAAGUUGCCGUUUAGGGAGGGGCCCGCGUCCCAUUAGCUUGUCGGUGAGGUAAUGGCCCACCAAGGCUACGAUGGGUAGCUGGUCUGAGAGGAUGAUCAGCCACACUGGAACUGAAACACGGUCCAGACUCCUACGGGAGGCAGCAGUGAGGAAUUUUGCGCAAUGGGGGAAACCCUGACGCAGCAACGCCGCGUGAGUGAAGAAGGCCUUCGGGUCGUAAAGCUCUGUCAAGUGGGAAAAAAUCCUUGCGAUGAAUAGUCGUAAGGCUUGAUGGUACCUCUAAAGGAAGCACCGGCUAACUCCGUGCCAGCAGCCGCGGUAAUACGGAGGGUGCGAGCGUUGUUCGGAAUUAUUGGGCGUAAAGAGCGCGUAGGCGGUUUGGUAAGUCAGAUGUGAAAGCCCUGGGCUCAACCCAGGAAGUGCAUUUGAUACUACCAAACUUGAGUAUGGGAGAGGAGAGUGGAAUUCCCAGUGUAGAGGUGAAAUUCGUAGAUAUUGGGAGGAACACCCGUGGCGAAGGCGACUCUCUGGACCAAUACUGACGCUGAGGCGCGAAAGCGUGGGGAGCAAACAGGAUUAGAUACCCUGGUAGUCCACGCCGUAAACGAUGAGAACUAGGUGUAGCGGGUAUUGACCCCUGCUGUGCCGGAGCUAACGCAUUAAGUUCUCCGCCUGGGGAGUACGGCCGCAAGGCUAAAACUCAAAGGAAUUGACGGGGGCCCGCACAAGCGGUGGAGCAUGUGGUUUAAUUCGACGCAACGCGAAGAACCUUACCUGGGUUUGACAUCCUUUGACUGCCCCGGAAACGGGGUUUUCCCUGCUUGCAGGGACAGAGUGACAGGUGCUGCAUGGCUGUCGUCAGCUCGUGUCGUGAGAUGUUGGGUUAAGUCCGCAACGAGCGCAACCCCUGUCUUUAGUUGCCAGUAUUUAGUUAGGCACUCUAAAGAUACUGCCUCGGUUAACGAGGAGGAAGGUGGGGAUGACGUCAAGUCCUCAUGGCCUUUAUACCCAGGGCUACACACGUGCUACAAUGGGCUGUACAAAGGGUUGCUAUCCCGCGAGGAGGAGCUAAUCCCAAAAAGCAGCUCUCAGUUCGGAUCGGAGUCUGCAACUCGACUCUGUGAAGUUGGAAUCGCUAGUAAUCGUGGAUCAGCAUGCCACGGUGAAUACGUUCCCGGGCCUUGUACACACCGCCCGUCACACCACGAAAGUUGGUUGUACCAGAAGUUGCUGGGCUAACCCCGCUUGCGGGGAGGCAGGUACCUAAGGUACGGCUGGUAAUUGGGGUGAAGUCGUAACAAGGUA